GAUGAACGCUGGCGGCGUGCCUAAUACAUGCAAGUCGAGCGAACAGACGAGGAGCUUUCUCCUCUUACGUUACCGGCGGACGGGUGAGUAACACGUGGAUAACCUACCUAUAAGACUGAGAUAACUUAAGGAAACCGAAUCUAAUAUCGGAUCAUAUAUUGAACCGCAUGGUUCAAUAGUGAAAAACGGUUUUGCUGUCACUUAUAGAUGGAUCCGCGCCGCAUUAGCUAGUUGGUAAGGUAACGGCUUACCAAGGCAACGAUGCGUAGCCGACCUGAGAGGGUGAUCGGCCACACUGGAACUGAGACACGGUCCAGACUCCUACGGGAGGCAGCAGUAGGGAAUCUUCCGCAAUGGGCGAAAGCCUGACGGAGCAACGCCGCGUGAGUGAUGAAGGUCUUCGGAUCGUAAAACUCUGUUAUUAGGGAAGAACAAAUGUGUAAGUAACUAUGCACGUCUUGACGGUACCUAAUCAGAAAGCCACGGCUAACUACGUG
RNAcentral lists this ribosomal RNA (497 nucleotides) under uncultured bacterium. Its description in RNAcentral is "partial 16S ribosomal RNA". It matches the Rfam family "Bacterial small subunit ribosomal RNA", at positions 28 to 507 of the family's 1533-position model. The record is from RNAcentral.